CAGUCGCCGCGGUAAUACGAGGGGGGCAAGCGUUGUUCGGAUUUAUUGGGCGUAAAGGGUGCGUAGGCGGUUUGGCAAGUCUUGUGUGAAAUCUUCGGGCUCAACCCGAAGCCUGCACGAGAAACUACCGGGCUUGAGUAUUGGAGAGGUGAGUGGAAUUUCCGGUGUAGCGGUGAAAUGCGUAGAUAUCGGAAGGAACACCUGUGGCGAAAGCGGCUCACUGGACAAUAACUGACGCUGAUGCACGAAAGCUAGGGGAGCAAACAGGAUUAGAUACCCCCGUAGUCCCUGUCUCUUAUAC
RNAcentral lists this ribosomal RNA (301 nucleotides) under uncultured bacterium. RNAcentral describes it as "partial 16S ribosomal RNA". It matches the Rfam family "Bacterial small subunit ribosomal RNA", at positions 509 to 807 of the family's 1533-position model. The record is from RNAcentral.